CAAUAGCGUAUAUUAAAGUUGUUGCAGUUAAAAAGCUCGUAGUUGAAUUUCUGGCGGGCGCGCCGGUCUUCCAAGUGUUGUACUGGGCGCAGUCCGCCAUCCUUGUGGAGAGGGCUCGCAUUGAGUUGCGUGUCGGAUCUGCAUCAUUUACUGUGAAAAAAUUAGAGUGUUUAAAGCAGGCUGUCGCUUGAAUACAUUAGCAUGGAAUAAUAAGAUAGGACUUCGGUCUAUUUUGUUGGUUGCGAACCGAGGUAAUGAUUAAUAGGGAUAGUUGGGGGUAUUCAUAUUUAAUUGUCAGAGGUGAAAUUCUUGGAUUUAUGAAAGAUGAACAACUGCGAAAGCAUUUACCAAGGAUGUUUUCACUAA
RNAcentral lists this ribosomal RNA (366 nucleotides) under uncultured eukaryote. RNAcentral describes it as "partial 18S ribosomal RNA". It matches the Rfam family "Eukaryotic small subunit ribosomal RNA", at positions 592 to 976 of the family's 1831-position model. The record is from RNAcentral.